GAUGAACGCUGGCGGUGUGCCUAAUACAUGCAAGUCGAGCGAACAGACGAGGAGCUUGCUCCUCUGACGUUAGCGGCGGACGGGUGAGUAACACGUGGAUAACCUACCUAUAAGACUGGGAUAACUUCGGGAAACCGGAGCUAAUACCGGAUAAUAUAUUGAACCGCAUGGUUCAAUAGUGAAAGACGGUUUUGCUGUCACUUAUAGAUGGAUCCGCGCCGCAUUAGCUAGUUGGUAAGGUAACGGCUUACCAAGGCAACGAUGCGUAGCCGACCUGAGAGGGGGAUCGGCCACACUGGAACUGAGACACGGUCCAGACUCCUACGGGAGGCAGCAGUAGGGAAUCUUCCGCAAUGGGCGAAAGCCUGACGGAGCAACGCCGCGUGAGUGAUGAAGGUCUUCGGAUCGUAAAACUCUGUUAUUAGGGAAGAACAAAUGUGUAAGUAACUAUGCACGUCUUGACGGUACCUAAUCAGAAAGCCACGGCUAACUACGUG
RNAcentral lists this ribosomal RNA (497 nucleotides) under uncultured bacterium. RNAcentral's name for it is "partial 16S ribosomal RNA". It matches the Rfam family "Bacterial small subunit ribosomal RNA", at positions 28 to 507 of the family's 1533-position model. The record is from RNAcentral.